RNAcentral lists this ribosomal RNA (443 nucleotides) under uncultured bacterium. RNAcentral describes it as "bacterial SSU rRNA". It matches the Rfam family "Bacterial small subunit ribosomal RNA", at positions 28 to 480 of the family's 1533-position model. The record is from RNAcentral.
GACGAACGCUGGCGGCGUGCUUAACACAUGCAAGUCGAACGAUGAAGCUCCAGCUUGCUGGGGUGGAUUAGUGGCGAACGGGUGAGUAAUACGUGAGUAACCUGCCCUUGACUCUGGGAUAAGCCUGGGAAACUGGGUCUAAUACUGGAUACUACACAUUCUCGCAUGGGGGUGUGUGGAAAGGGUUUUACUGGUUUUGGAUGGGCUCACGGCCUAUCAGCUUGUUGGUGGGGUAAUGGCCUACCAAGGCGACGACGGGUAGCCGGCCUGAGAGGGUGACCGGCCACACUGGGACUGAGACACGGCCCAGACUCCUACGGGAGGCAGCAGUGGGGAAUAUUGCACAAUGGGCGAAAGCCUGAUGCAGCGACGCCGCGUGAGGGAUGACGGCCUUCGGGUUGUAAACCUCUUUCAGCACGGAAGAAGCGAAAGUGACGGUACGG